CUACGGGACGCAGCAGUGGGGAAUAUUGCACAAUGGGCGCAAGCCUGAUGCAGCCAUGCCGCGUGUAUGAAGAAGGCCUUCGGGUUGUAAAGUACUUUCAGCGGGGAGGAAGGGAGUAAAGUUAAUACCUUUGCUCAUUGACGUUACCCGCAGAAGAAGCACCGGCUAACUCCGUGCCAGCAGCCGCGGUAAUACGGAGGGUGCAAGCGUUAAUCGGAAUUACUGGGCGUAAAGCGCACGUAGGCGGUUUGUUAAGUCAGAUGUGAAAUCCCCGGGCUCAACCUGGGAACUGCAUCUGAGACUGGCAAGCUUGAGUCUCGUAGAGGGGGGUAGAAUUCCAGGUGUAGCGGUGAAAUGCGUAGAGAUCUGGAGGAAUACCGGUGGCGAAGGCGGCCCCCUGGACGAAGACUGACGCUCAGGUGCGAAAGCGUGGGGAGCAAACAGGAUUAGAUACCCCCGUAGUC
RNAcentral lists this ribosomal RNA (464 nucleotides) under uncultured bacterium. RNAcentral describes it as "partial 16S ribosomal RNA". It matches the Rfam family "Bacterial small subunit ribosomal RNA", at positions 339 to 795 of the family's 1533-position model. The record is from RNAcentral.